CAGUAGCCGCGGGAAUACGUAGGUGGCAAGCGUUGUCCGGAAUUAUUGGCGUAAAGGGCUCGCAGGCGGUUUCUUAAGUCUGAUGUGAAAGCCCCCGGCUCAACCGGGGAGGGUCAUUGGAAACUGGGAAACUUGAGUGCAGAAGAGGAGAGUGGAAUUCCACGUGUAGCGGUGAAAUGCGUAGAGAUGUGGAGGAACACCAGUGGCGAAGGCGACUCUCUGGUCUGUAACUGACGCUGAGGAGCGAAAGCGUGGGGAGCGAACAGGAUUAGAGACCCCCGUAGUCCCUGUCUCUUAUACA
RNAcentral lists this ribosomal RNA (301 nucleotides) under uncultured bacterium. Its description in RNAcentral is "partial 16S ribosomal RNA". It matches the Rfam family "Bacterial small subunit ribosomal RNA", at positions 509 to 808 of the family's 1533-position model. The record is from RNAcentral.